RNAcentral lists this unclassified non-coding RNA (78 nucleotides) under Flavobacterium succinicans. RNAcentral's name for it is "Flavo-1 RNA". The record is from RNAcentral. Lineage: Bacteria; Pseudomonadati; Bacteroidota; Flavobacteriia; Flavobacteriales; Flavobacteriaceae.
AUUUAGCCCCGACAGAAGGGAUAAACCUUGUGCACCGGGGUUCGGCGGACAAGUUUAGGAAUGAUGGCGGGUACGAUG